UCGGGAAUUUUGGGCAAUGGGCGAAAGCCUGACCCAGCAACGCCGCGUGAAGGAUGAAGUAUUUCGGUAUGUAAACUUCGAAAGAAUGGGAAGAAUAAAUGACGGUACCAUUUAUAAGCUCCGGCUAACUACGUGCCAGCAGCCGCGGUAAUACGUAGGGAGCAAGCGUUGUUCGGAAUUACUGGGCGUAAAGCGCACGUAGGCGGAUUGUUAAGUCAGAGGUGAAAUCCCGGAGCUCAACUUCGGAACUGCCUUUGAUACUGGCAAUCUAGAGUCCGGAAGAGGUUAGUGGAAUUCCCAGUGUAGAGGUGAAAUUCGUAGAUAUUGGGAAGAACACCAGUGGCGAAGGCGGCUAACUGGUCCGGUACUGACGCUGAGGUGCGAAAGCGUGGGGAGCAAACAGGAUUAGAUACCCCCGUAGUCCCUGAGCGGGCUGGCAAGGCG
This 444-nucleotide ribosomal RNA is filed under the name uncultured bacterium. RNAcentral describes it as "bacterial SSU rRNA". It matches the Rfam family "Bacterial small subunit ribosomal RNA", at positions 355 to 822 of the family's 1533-position model. The record is from RNAcentral.